RNAcentral lists this ribosomal RNA (468 nucleotides) under uncultured bacterium. Its description in RNAcentral is "partial 16S ribosomal RNA". It matches the Rfam family "Bacterial small subunit ribosomal RNA", at positions 28 to 507 of the family's 1533-position model. The record is from RNAcentral.
GACGAACGCUGGCGGCGUGCUUAACACAUGCAAGUCGAACGGAAAGGCCCCGCUUUUGUGGGGUGCUCGAGUGGCGAACGGGUGAGUAACACGUGAGUAACCUGCCCUUGACUUUGGGAUAACUUCAGGAAACUGGGGCUAAUACCGGAUAGGAGCUCCUGCUGCAUGGUGGGGGUUGGAAAGUUUCGGCGGUUGGGGAUGGACUCGCGGCUUAUCUGCUUGUUGGGGGGGGAGUGGCAUACCAAGGCCUUGACGGGUUGCCCGCCUGGGAGGGUGGCCGGCCACAAUGGGGCUGAGGUACGGGCCAGACGCCUACGGGAGGCAACAGGGGGGAAUAUUGGACAAUGGGCGGAAGCCUUAAGGAACAGCGCCGCGGGCGGGAAGACGGCCUUCGGGGUGGAAACCGCUUUCGCCUAUGACGAAGCGUUAGUGACGGUAAUGGGUAGAGAAGCACCGGCUAACUACGUG